This 917-nucleotide long non-coding RNA is filed under the name Homo sapiens (human). RNAcentral's name for it is "HSALNT0370719". The record is from RNAcentral. Lineage: Eukaryota; Metazoa; Chordata; Mammalia; Primates; Hominidae.
CAUGUGACAAGAAACUGAGGGUGGCUUCUGGCUACCAGCCAGCUUGAACUGAGUCUCACAGUCUAAUAUCCCAAAGGAAAUUAAUCCUGCCAACAACAUAAAAAGAAAAAGAAUGGAUUUUCCAGUCUCUUUGACCCCUGAGAUCUCAAAGCCCCUGUGAAGAUCGAUCAGUUGGCAUGGCUGGAUUCAGACUUCCCAGGCCAAGAGGACUUGAAGAAAUGAUCAGAUGAAUCUCAGAAACUCAGAGUUUGAAUAAUAGUUGUCGGUUAUUGCACACUUGCUGUGUGCCAGGCAUGGUGCUCACUGCUGCCCAUGGAUCAUUUCACCUAAUUUCAUCUACCAGCCUGAUAUCUGCACAUGUGAGAACCUGAGACGUAGGGAGUUUGCACGGCUUUAGCUUUCGCAGAAGGAGUAACACAGGGUCAUACCAACUUACUCCAGUUACCAAUUCUGUGACCUCAGAUGCCAAAACUCGAGGCGCAGAAAACCUAAGUAACUUGCUCAGGAUGCCAUACAGCAAGUGAGGGGCAGAGCCAGGAUUCUGUCUGAGCCCUCUGGUGGUUGGGCACCAUCAGCUCCAGGAAGCCUCUUCUAUGUGCUCCAGAAUUGGUUGCAUGGGGAGCCCCUAUGAACUUCACCUUCCUGAGCCUCAGUUUUCUGUAAAAUGGAUAUGAUAGCAACCACUCUUGCCUUACUUUAUACACAGUGCUGUUGGCAAAACCAAAUGAGAUGAGCUGCAAAAUGAAUGACUAUAUAUUAUUAAUUAAAUUGUUAUAAAACCCAGCUCCUAUUUAUCAAGCAUCUGUGGGGAGCAAAUUCCUGCUUAUUGGGUCUUAUUUAAUUACCAAACCACUCUGUGCUGUAGGUGCUAUUGCGAUUCCAGAGAGCCUGGCACAGAGACAACAGUCAAGAAACUU